AUUGAACGCUGGCGGCAGGCCUAACACAUGCAAGUCGGACGGUAGCACAGAGGAGCUUGCUCCUCGGGUGACGAGUGGCGGACGGGUGAGUAAUGUCUGGGGAUCUGCCCGAUAGAGGGGGAUAACCACUGGAAACGGUGGCUAAUACCGCAUAACGUCGCAAGACCAAAGAGGGGGACCUGCGGGCCGCUCACUAUCGGAUGAACCCAGAUGGGAUUAGCUAGGAGGCGGGGUAACGGCCCACCUAGGCGACGAUCCCUAGCUGGUCUGAGGGGAUGACCAGCCACACUGGAACUGAGACACGGUCCAGACUCCUACGGGAGGCAGCAGUGGGGAAUAUUGCACAAUGGGCGCAAGCCUGAUGCAGCCAUGCCGCGUGUAUGAAGAAGGCCUUCGGGUUGUAAAGUACUUUCAGCGGGGAGGAAGGCGAUGUGGUUAAUAACCGCAUUGAUUGACGUUACCCGCAGAAGAAGCACCGGCUAACUCCGUGCCAGCCGCCGCCGUAA
Molecule: ribosomal RNA, 506 nt
Filed under: uncultured bacterium
Lineage: Bacteria
Description: partial 16S ribosomal RNA
Rfam family: Bacterial small subunit ribosomal RNA
Source: RNAcentral